GUCCCCGGCCUCCUCAUUGUGCAUGCUGUGUGUCUGCGGUGCUUCCCGCACAGCGCCUGCAAUGUGGAGGUGGAGGAU
This 78-nucleotide microRNA precursor is filed under the name Scleropages formosus (Asian bonytongue). RNAcentral's name for it is "mir-460 microRNA precursor family". It matches the Rfam family "mir-460 microRNA precursor family". The record is from Rfam by way of RNAcentral. Lineage: Eukaryota; Metazoa; Chordata; Actinopteri; Osteoglossiformes; Osteoglossidae.